Molecule: ribosomal RNA, 200 nt
Filed under: uncultured bacterium
Lineage: Bacteria
Description: partial 16S ribosomal RNA
Rfam family: Bacterial small subunit ribosomal RNA
Source: RNAcentral
AGAGUUUGAUCAUGGCUCAGAACGAACGCUGGCGGCAGGCUUAACACAUGCAAGUCGAACGGGCGUCGCAAGACGUCAGUGGCGGACGGGUGAGUAACGCGUGGGAACAUACCCUCCGGUUCGGAAUAACUCAGGGAAACUUGAGCUAAUACCGGAUACGGCUGAGAGGCGAAAGAUUGAUCGCCGGAGGAUUGGCCCGC